GCAAGAGAGUUUGUGUGGGAGCUGUGAUCAACACAUCUGUUCUAUAAAAACCCCCUGAAUCUGUGACGCCGACAGAGAUUUACACAUAGAUGGAGGAUGUCUAAAUGCAGAUGAUUCCUCAUCGCCUCCUCCUUCUGCCGUUCAACCCAGCGAUCCAAGGCGUCUGCCUUCAACGUGUCCGCAGGGUCCGUGGUUGGCGGAAACAUUCUGUUAUGGUUUGUGAGAUAUAGGACCCCAGAAUGCAGACCAGAAGGCAGCAUGACGAGUGUGUCACACUGCCAAGCAAACCAAUAGUAUGACCGGUUCGAUGCCAUACUUGGACACAGACCUGCAUAUUCACUGACUGCAGCAACAAAUGACUCAGCCACAGCGUUGCUAGAGGCUAUGUGCCAGGACGAGGAAGACACUGACAUUGAAUACAGCCAAGGCAAGUGAAAAGGGGGCCGGGAGCCAAAUGUCCUAGUUGCCAUUCGGAAGGUGGAUGAAGGCUUCAAGAGUGUCCUGCAGCAGCUCUAGACCAGCCAGAGAGAGGAGAGGGAUUGCAGAAGGCAGGAGCUCCACAGCUCUUAAGAAAAUAGAGAAUAUAGAGCAAACCAUCUUGCUGUCUUGAUUGCCCAAAAUCUGUGAAACUCAAUUUGUACAGCUACUUUUGCACACAUCUGGUUUUGCUUUGUUUGCACGGUGUUGUAUUUCUUUAGUUAAGACAGAAAGCUCUACUUCAUGUGCAUUUAUUUGCGUGGUAUUGAAUGAUUAAGGUAGGUAAUCAAAUUAAGAUCAUAAGUUUGAAAAAGGGCCAAAUUCAGGUAUGUUUGCAUAAAAAAAUAUUCACCACCCUUUUUUAUGUCAGCACAACAUAUAUAGCCUAGUAAACUGAAUACUGUUGAAAGAAUGUUUAGCAUAUGAUUAUGCCCAAAUGAUGGAAAUUCUAAUAACAGACUGGGUGUGUCAACCUACUGAUCCAUGCUUGAUUUCAUAAGUUUUCAAACCCUCUACAUUUUUCAGCUACAUUGCAGCUACUUGAAUUUUAUAUAUUCACGUAUAUAUGGAUUACAGCUAUUCUAAUGCUACACUCAUUAAGACAACAGUUCAAAGUGCUUCAUUCAUUCAUUGUAAUGAAUGCAGAAAGAAAACUUAAAUUGCUCUAUUCUCUCAAACCGGCUAAAGCACCUCCUGGCAACUGCUUAUUGUGCAGAAAACUUUGAACAAGCUUUCUCAUAUUGGCCUGACACAAUUAGGGAUCAGAGAACAUCUUUCUAGUGUCCAAACAGGUCAGCUUCCUCACGGUGGGAUAUUUCAAGGGGCUCUCAUACAGCACUUUCUGAAGGAUAUUUGACAUCACCUUGAUGCAGUCCCUCUUAAACCUAAGACUGUAAGUUGCCCUGUCUUUUUCUGCCUUUGGAGUUCCUGACAUGGAUAAUGAGAGUGAGCCAUGUAGUAAAUAUAUUUUCUGGAUCCUAGUAAUAUUUUUAAGAAUAACUUGAUACACUACCUUUAGAGUUGAUUCUGCACCUAAGUCAAUCUUCACUUCUUGAGGAUGGACCCAAUUCUUUUUGACACCAACAAUCCAGUCUGUCUAACUGGAGUGGACUGAUGUCAUGAAGCACUUCACGCUUGAUGAAACACCUCAAAAUACACUGAAGAGAAAAGCCAAAAAUGUAACCCAAAGAAUUACAACCAUAUUGAGCAGUCAAUUGUGUCAAAACUGCUUUCUUUUUUCAGAUUUUUUCAACAUGAUGUAUCUGUCAUACCAUGUAUUUAUGUUUAAAGUCAGAAAUAGAAACAAUGUUCAGUAGUGGAAUAUAUUUACCAUCAUCAAUUCUGCUAAAUUGUCCACAAGGAAUGGCAUCAUUGGCUCAUCUGUCUGGUAUGCGAUCAUGAAGGUGCAGAAGGUCCUGAUGGCAGACGUGUAGAAGUAAAGUUUUCCCAUGAUGAGAGAAUUGUUCUGUGCUGCUUUAAGGGUGUCAUUAGAAGAGGUUCCUAGAUUUGGUAGCUUCUUCGCCCUGACCACACCACGUACAUGGUCACAGCUGGUAUGUUCUCAAGCCACUGGUGGCCACAGAAUGGUAGAGGAAAUUGUGUGGUUUUGGUAAAACCCAUAAGGUCCUCUCUUCUUGCAGGUUUAUUAUGGAAGAAUGUGUGCACUAUCAGUCGAGCACCCCCAUACUGCUCUCCAUGUUCUUGCUGCAGUAGGGCCAGCAACUUCCAAAUAACAUUUGGUCUGUCCAUGGAGACUGACAACAGCUUAUGCCUAUCCAGGCCCUUGGGACCUUCCUAAGAAUAAGCAACGAUGAAUCACAUAAAGCAUAUAAAUAUAUAAUUACGCUUGAUUAAUACAGUAAAGACUGUAAAAUCUCGUACAGCAUAGCUUUGUAAUAGAUGUAAGGUUGACACAAUAAAGGUAUCAAUAAUAAUACCAACCCAAAGCAAAUCUGAGCCGUGACAGCUGUAAGUCACACAAAUUGAAAUUUUUGUUAAACUUUUUUUUUUUUGGUUUUUAAACUCCCAACAACAAUGUAAACAAUAUAUUUAAGAAAGGGCAAGCAUUUACAUCUUUUUUUGUGAAUGAGGACUUGUAAAUUUUCUUAGAUCGAAAACAUUUAAAGAUUUGUAAACAACCUUGCUUUUAUUUUUUUUAGAAAAAAAAAUCAGUUCAUUUGAUUUGUUGGAUAUCUAUUGUUUUUGUUCUCUUGU
Girardinichthys multiradiatus is the source of this 2691-nucleotide long non-coding RNA. RefSeq lists it as uncharacterized. The transcript has 4 exons. Lineage: Eukaryota; Metazoa; Chordata; Actinopteri; Cyprinodontiformes; Goodeidae. The record is from RefSeq and is a predicted model, not a curated record.